Molecule: ribosomal RNA, 449 nt
Filed under: uncultured maize root bacterium Zmrc185
Lineage: Bacteria
Description: bacterial SSU rRNA
Rfam family: Bacterial small subunit ribosomal RNA
Source: RNAcentral
CUCUUCGGAGCCUGGAACACAGGUGCUGCAUGGCUGUCGUCAGCUCGUGUCGUGAGAUGUUGGGUUAAGUCCCGCAACGAGCGCAGCCCCCGUCCUUAGUUGCUACCAUUUAGUUGAGCACUCUAAGGAGACUGCCGGUGAUAAGCCGCGAGGAAGGUGGGGAUGACGUCAAGUCCUCAUGGCCCUUACGGGCUGGGCUACACACGUGCUACAAUGGCGGUGACAAUGGGAUGCGAAGACGCAAGUCCUAGCAAAUCUCAAAAAGCCGUCUCAGUUCGGAUUGGGCUCUGCAACUCGAGCCCAUGAAGUUGGAAUCGCUAGUAAUCGUGGAUCAGCACGCCACGGUGAAUACGUUCCCGGGCCUUGUACACACCGCCCGUCACACCAUGGGAGUUGGUUUUACCUGAAGACGGUGCGCUAACCAGCAAUGGAGGCAGCCGGCCACGGUA